Molecule: ribosomal RNA, 93 nt
Filed under: Paenibacillus odorifer
Lineage: Bacteria; Bacillati; Bacillota; Bacilli; Caryophanales; Paenibacillaceae
Description: partial 16S ribosomal RNA
Rfam family: Bacterial small subunit ribosomal RNA
Source: RNAcentral
AAUUGGAGAGUUUGAUCCUGGCUCAGGACGAACGCUGGCGGCGUGCCUAAUACAUGCAAGUCGAGCGGAGUUAUUUUGAAAGCUUGCUUUCAA